RNAcentral lists this small nuclear RNA (300 nucleotides) under Canis lupus familiaris (dog). RNAcentral describes it as "7SK RNA". It matches the Rfam family "7SK RNA". From Rfam's summary of the family: 7SK was discovered as an abundant small nuclear RNA in the mid-70s but a possible function has only recently been suggested. Lineage: Eukaryota; Metazoa; Chordata; Mammalia; Carnivora; Canidae. The record is from Rfam by way of RNAcentral. RNAcentral also lists the same sequence under 1 other name.
GGAUGUGAGGGCGAUCUGGCUGCGACAUCUGUCACCCCAUUGAUUGCCAGGGUUGAUUCGGCUGAUGUGGCUGGCUAGGCAGGUGUCCCCUUCCUCCCUCACUGCUCCAUGUGCAUCCUUCCCAAAGCUGGGCACUCAGUGGAAGAGGACGACCAUGCCCGGGAGAGGAGGACCGUUCUUUGGUCAAGGGUACACGACGCUACGCUGCUGGAACCUCCCAACAAGCUCUCAAGGUCCAUUUGAUCACUCUGUGAGGGCAACGAGGUUAUGACAAAUGGGAACUCAGUGUUGUUUCCUCUU